GAGAUAGGGCCUUCGGGCUCGACCUCCAACCCUCUAUCUACCUUCUCAUGUUGCCUCGGCGGGCCGCCGCAAGGCCGUCGGCAUUCGUGCUCUCGAGUGCCCGCCAGAGGACCGACCAAACCCUGCUCAUCGUAGACUUCUGAGUGAGAAACACAAUAACUUCAAAACUUUCAACAACGGAUCUCUUGGUUCU
This 193-nucleotide unclassified non-coding RNA is filed under the name rhizosphere metagenome. RNAcentral's name for it is "partial ribosomal RNA internal transcribed spacer region". The record is from RNAcentral.